Small nucleolar RNA from Megalobrama amblycephala (Wuchang bream), 68 nucleotides. NCBI's taxonomy places the organism in Eukaryota, Metazoa, Chordata, Actinopteri, Cypriniformes, Xenocyprididae. The record is from RefSeq and is a predicted model, not a curated record.
UUGCAGUGAUGUCUUGAAUUUCUUCACCUGAACUUUUGUGUAGAAGUUAUUUUUUUAAACUGAGCAAG